GCGUUUGUGGUUUAGUGGUAAAAUCCAUCGUUGCCAAUUGGCUAUACAGUUUAGCUUAUUAGCUUAACGGUCUAGUAUAGCCAUUGUAUCGAUGGGCCCCGGGUUCGAUUCCCGGCGAACGCA
RNAcentral lists this transfer RNA (123 nucleotides) under Lachnellula hyalina. It matches the Rfam family "tRNA". Rfam says of the family: Transfer RNA (tRNA) molecules are approximately 80 nucleotides in length. Their secondary structure includes four short double-helical elements and three loops (D, anti-codon, and T loops). Further hydrogen bonds mediate the characteristic L-shaped molecular structure. tRNAs have two regions of fundamental functional importance: the anti-codon, which is responsible for specific mRNA codon recognition, and the 3' end, to which the tRNAs corresponding amino acid is attached (by aminoacyl-tRNA synthetases). tRNAs cope with the degeneracy of the genetic code in two manners: having more than one tRNA (with a specific anti-codon) for a particular amino acid; and 'wobble' base-pairing, i.e. permitting non-standard base-pairing at the 3rd anti-codon position. Lineage: Eukaryota; Fungi; Ascomycota; Leotiomycetes; Helotiales; Lachnaceae. The record is from Rfam by way of RNAcentral.